This is a non-coding RNA of Petromyzon marinus (sea lamprey), 1102 nucleotides long. Lineage: Eukaryota; Metazoa; Chordata; Hyperoartia; Petromyzontiformes; Petromyzontidae. The record is from RefSeq and is a predicted model, not a curated record.
CGAAUGGCUCACAGGGCUAUACCAAAUAAAUGAAACUGAAAGAGAGGAAGCAAUGGAAUACAAUCUAAAUAAACUUAAACUCAAACCCCGCUCUCUGACGUCACAACUCCGCAUUACCUCAUCGGCGUGAGACGCGAGGGGGAGGUGUAACCCGCUAGUGACGUCAUGUCACCAAGGUAUUCACCCAACCCCCCUCUACCGCGAGUUCUCUCACUGAUGGGCCUAAGUUCAUUAACAUAAUUUAUUAAGUUGCACCGCCGCAUAUUGGGUAUGGGAGUUGUUGUAACCCUCUAGUGACGUCAUGUCACCUCCUGCUGCCGCGUGACGUCACGAGACACCAGGAAGCUGCCGAUCGGCGCUCCUGCGCUCACUGAGAUUUGAGGGGGAAAGAAAAACAACCCCUGGAGGAUCCUGAGGGAAAAUCCACGCGACCACGAGGAGAGAGACACGCGAACUCCAAAUAUACAUCCUUAAUACAGCUGAAACAUUCUUCUGACGCUUCAUCGGCAGAAUUGGUCUGAUGGAGCAAAGGCACUCGGCGCAGCCCGGUUCAACAAGACAACAAUGGGACCAGGAUACAAACAGCAUGGAUUGUACUGGAAGUGUGACAUGGCACCAGAGAACUCAAAGAGGAGAUGAACCCUUCAAGUGCACUGUGUGUGAGAAGGCAUUUUCAGAUUCAUCUGUUUUUAAAAAACACCAGAGAACGCACACGGGAGUGAAACCUUUCAAGUGCACUGUCUGUGAGAAGGCAUUUGCAGAGUUAUCAAAUCUUAAAACACACCAUAGAACACACACAGGAGAGAAAUAUUUCAAGUGCACUGUGUGCGAGAAGGCAUUUGCACAAUUAUCAAAUCUUCAGAGGCACCACAGAACGCACACAGGAGAGAAACCCUUCAAGUGCAGUGUGUGUGGGAAGGCAUUUUCAAAUUCAUCUGGUCUUAAGAACCACCAGAGAACACACACGGAAGGGAAACAUUACAAGUGCAGUUUGUGCGAGACGACAUUUUCAAGUUCAUUUUGUUUUAAAAUGCACCAGAGAACACACAAAGGAGAGAAACCCUUCAGGUGCACUCUGUGCGGGAAGCCCUUUGCAUAUUCA